RNAcentral lists this transfer RNA (73 nucleotides) under Ipomoea nil (Japanese morning glory). It matches the Rfam family "tRNA". From Rfam's summary of the family: Transfer RNA (tRNA) molecules are approximately 80 nucleotides in length. The record is from Rfam by way of RNAcentral. Lineage: Eukaryota; Viridiplantae; Streptophyta; Magnoliopsida; Solanales; Convolvulaceae.
GCUGGAAUAGCUCUGUUGGCUAGACGUGUUGAUGUUAACCACGAGGUUGGAGGUUCAAGUCCUCCUUCUAGUG